Cairina moschata (Muscovy duck) is the source of this 1645-nucleotide long non-coding RNA. The record is from Ensembl. Lineage: Eukaryota; Metazoa; Chordata; Aves; Anseriformes; Anatidae.
GAUUUCUAUUUGUUCCAAUAAUAAGAAGAACCUGGCAUGGGAAGCACUGAACUUUUGUGCCUACUUCAGACUGAACUUAGAUCCAGGGGCAAGGUUAACGUAUAAAUCAUCCCAGACCUUUUGUUAGAUUAGUACAACUAAUACUUGACAUUAAGACAAGACCUUAGAUUUGCAUGUACAUAUGAUACAUUUUUGUAAGCUGUCCCAGGGCAGGUGCAAAACUCACAGCCUCUGGAAAAGAGGUGGAAAGUGUCUUCCUGUGUCCUCCUCUCUCCUGCGUUGCUCUGGCGGUUUGAAAGACUUUGGGACUAACUCAGCAGACCCUGAGUCUGAUUUGUAGAGCCACCACUGCCUCUGAGCCACAUGCUGACUUCCUGCUGCCCGCCUACACACUCCUAACUUCAGCUGUGUUCUUGGCAUCACUUGCAAUGCAUCUGCUUGCCUCAGAGCCAGCACCAGAAAGAAGCUGCUGUUGAGCUCGACUCUGUUAGGUGGGUGCUACAGAGUGAGACUUUUUUACUGAAGGUGUGAAAAGUCUUUUAGGGUUUUUUCAUAGAUGUACUUAAAUUUAUGUCAGAUCCUAUUUGACUUGACAAACUUUAUUUUCCUGUAAAUUUCUACAUUUUUUAAGAAUGGGAAAUCAAUUACUUUUAAGCAUUUCACAGUACAAAUGGAAGGACAUAUUAUGUAUUAGGCAUCUUCCACAAAAAAAGUUUCCUAUUUCAGAUAUUGAAACUAUCUAAAACUAUGUCUAUUUCUGAAAACAAAAAAAAUACUUAUUUUCCCAUUUGACAGUCUUUGUCCAUAACUUCAUCAUUUUCGUGUCUUUUUUUUUUUUUCUUUUCUGAAAGGCAAUACAAAACUAAUGACAUUCACAUCAGCAUUCCGUGCAUGGCAGAGGAUGUAUGAAAAUGGUUUUUAUCCAUCCACUAAUUCAUCCAAACCCUUUUGCCUAUAGAGUAAGAAGCUUUAAUAAGAAGUUUGCAAACCCUUGAAGCUAUAGCUCAGGCAAAACCUUUCUACUGUUUGCUGGAGCCAUGCAGACAAAAUUGAAAGAAAGCUGUGCUUAAAGCAUUUGUAAAGCUUUUGCUGCCUCUGCUUUACCUGCACUUUAACAACAGUCAGCUGCCUUGAAGUCAGGGGAUCUUCUCUGAGGAUGGAUUCUCUUCUUUAAUUUCAAUUCUCAAACACAAACAAAACCCAAAACAAAACAAAACAAAAACACUAAAAACCUCCCAAAAACAAAGCCCAAAAAAACGUUGCUGCAUCACAGCUGACCUGUGUGAAGAGCCGUUUAAGUCUGGUGCUUUAAAAACAGGAAGACGAACAAGAACAGAAAUAUUCUAGAAAUCUUGUCAUUGCCUACCCAUCCAUGAAUGGGUGAGACAAGAAGGACAGAAAGUGAAGCUUCUGUGCUGCACAAAAGACACUGAUAGUCAUCUUUGUGAAGUUUGCACUUUGCCUCUCAUUUCCCAUAGCCCCAGCUGGGUGCUCUCAGCGUGGCAUUGGUGAAUGCCACAGCAACACAGCAGAGUAAUAGUGAGAAAGGAGCUACCAGGGAAAAAUGGUCAAAAUCAGUUUGCAAAUUAUGUGGUGAGUGCAGAGGGUGACCUGGAGGUGGGGGGUUCACAGGAAAAGGCCGAUU